GUCCAGACUCCUACGGGAGGCAGCAGUGGGGAAUAUUGGGCAAUGGGCGCAAGCCUGACCCAGCAACGCCGCGUGAAGGAAGAAGGCUUUCGGGUUGUAAACUUCUUUUCUCAGGGACGAAGCAAGUGACGGUACCUGGGGAAUAAGCCACGGCUAACUACGUGCCAGCAGCCGCGGUAAUACGUAGGUGGCAAGCGUUAUCCGGAUUUACUGGGUGUAAAGGGCGUGUAGGCGGGACUGCAAGUCAGAUGUGAAAACCAUGGGCUCAACCUGUGGCCUGCAUUUGAAACUGUAGUUCUUGAGUACUGGAGAGGCAGGCGGAAUUCCUAGUGUAGCGGUGAAAUGCGUAGAUAUUAGGAGGAACACCAGUGGCGAAGGCGGCCUGCUGGGCUUUUACUGACGCUGAGGCUCGAAAGUGUGGGGAGCAAACAGGAUUAGAUACCCGUGUA
Molecule: ribosomal RNA, 449 nt
Filed under: uncultured bacterium
Lineage: Bacteria
Description: bacterial SSU rRNA
Rfam family: Bacterial small subunit ribosomal RNA
Source: RNAcentral